GCUGCCACUAGGGUCUGAAGGACAGAUAGGAAAGGCGCAUGCCAUACUGAAGACUCACAAGCCGUCAGCCGAUUCAAGGCUUGUUUUAAAACACCAAACCAAACUGUCAGAAAUGUCAAGAUUUGCCCAGCAACGGUCAGAGGAGGGGCGAAACUGGGAGCGGCUCCUCAUCAUUGGCGGAUUCCAGUGCCAAGAGGCUGGGACCAGCCUGUGCACUAGCCACGGUGACUCCCCCUCGUUAUUGACCAAUGAAGUUCUACCUACUAUUAUAAAUAUUGCACCCGCCGUCCGUUCGGGGCGACUCUAGACUACCCCGUGCUAUUAGAUGGCCGGCCUGUACGUUGAGUGCCCAUAGCUAUGUUGUAGCUUUUCAUUGCUUCUAAAUAAAUACUUUUUGAACCAAACCAAGACCGACUCUUCUCAUACCUAAGGAUAAAAGAACACGACAGUAAAAGGACGUCAGAAAUUCAUGGGCAUCCUGCAAACGGAGAAAUGCAGAGGGUUCAAUGCACAGAGGAUAAAAUCAGGACGAAGAAGACACAAGACAAACCAUCAAACUAGCCAACACACCUUCUGCCCCAUGUCCGAAAAUUCUGGAAACCUCUCAGCCACUUCCAUUUUGAAGUACAUGAGAACUGUAGCCUCGGGGACCAUCUUCCACGCAUCUUCCUGACAGCUGAUGUCUCUGAUGAACUCCAUCAGUGUGAGCAGACUCUGGAGGCUGGAGUUCAUGUAGCAGAUUUGAGCGGGGUUUGGAAACCUGUCAAGGAUGAAGGUGUUUGGCAAAAUGACUUGAAUUUACGAAAAUCCCAUAACAAGUGAAAACAGCUAGUGCUAGGUAUUUCUAUAAUUGAAGCUUGAGUAUGUAAUCAAACAGCCGGUGAUCAAUGAUCAGCUGAUUUUAUUUCUUGUAUGUGUGUUUAUGCAGAUUAACUCACCCAAGACAGUCCUGGCCACUGGUUCUCUCAGAGGAGGGAGACCCACCCAAGCAGUCACUACUGGUUAGAAGGCGACACAGACACGAAUGCCAGUCAACAUGACAGACAUGAGUGUAGCAUUUAUUCUCAAGUGACCCCUUUUGAGGAAUUUUUGACUAUAUAUUAAUGUAUAUUGUAUAUUACACAUCAUAUCUGUACAGGAGAAUAGUGCCUGUCUAAAUUUAACAGAUACUCCCUUCUCUCUCUAAGCGGUACCCAAGGUUAGGUUAAAGAUAAAGGGCCAACCAACAAUGCAUUGUAGCGUCUAUGUUGAGGGACUUUCAUAUCUAACUCAGAUGUGCCCGACAGAGAGACACCAACUUCAACUCUCACCAACUUUAAC
Long non-coding RNA from Hippoglossus stenolepis (Pacific halibut), 1320 nucleotides. RefSeq lists it as uncharacterized. The record is from RefSeq and is a predicted model, not a curated record. The transcript is spliced from 3 exons. NCBI's taxonomy places the organism in Eukaryota, Metazoa, Chordata, Actinopteri, Pleuronectiformes, Pleuronectidae.